Molecule: unclassified non-coding RNA, 389 nt
Filed under: uncultured bacterium
Lineage: Bacteria
Description: contains 16S-23S intergenic spacer region
Source: RNAcentral
UCCGGUUUGACACCGGCAGUCCCGCUAGAGUGCGUCGCCCGAAGGCGCUUGGCAACUAGAGGCAGGGGUUUCGCUCGUUAGAGGACUUAACCCGACACUUCACAGCACGAGCUGACGACAGCCAUGCAGCACCUGUGCACGUUCCACCCUUGCGGGUGUCACUCCGCUUUCACAGAGCUAAUCCGUGCAUGUCAAGCCUUGGAUAAGGUUCUUCGCGUUGCUUCGAAUUAAGCCACAUGCUCCACCGCUUGUGUGAGCCCCCGUCAAUUCCUUUGAGUUUUAGCCUUGCGGCCGUACUCCCCAGGCGGGGCGCUUAAUGCGUUAGCUGCGGCACGGAACUCGUGGAAUGAGUCCCACACCUAGCGCCCAACGUUUACGGUGUGGACUAC